UACGUAGGGAGCGAGCGUUGUCCGGAAUUACUGGGUGUAAAGGGAGUGCAGGCGGGCUUGCAAGUCAGAUGUGAAAUGCAGGGGCUCAACCCCUGAGCUGCAUUUGAAACUGUAGGUCUUGAGUGAAGUAGAGGUAAGCGGAAUUCCAAGUGUAGCGGUGAAAUGCGUAGAUAUUUGGAGGAACAUCAGUGGCGAAGGCGGCUUACUGGGCUUUAACUGACGCUGAGGCUCGAAAGCGUGGGGAG
Molecule: ribosomal RNA, 245 nt
Filed under: uncultured Ruminococcus sp.
Lineage: Bacteria; Bacillati; Bacillota; Clostridia; Eubacteriales; Oscillospiraceae
Description: partial 16S ribosomal RNA
Rfam family: Bacterial small subunit ribosomal RNA
Source: RNAcentral